Molecule: ribosomal RNA, 252 nt
Filed under: uncultured bacterium
Lineage: Bacteria
Description: partial 16S ribosomal RNA
Rfam family: Bacterial small subunit ribosomal RNA
Source: RNAcentral
UACGUAGGGUGCAAGCGUUGUCCGGAAUUAUUGGGCGUAAAGAGCUCGUAGGCGGUCUGUCGCGUCGGAUGUGAAAACUCGGGGCUCAACCCCGGGCCUGCAUUCGAUACGGGCAGACUAGAGUACGGCAGGGGAGACUGGAAUUCCUGGUGUAGCGGUGAAAUGCGCAGAUAUCAGGAGGAACACCGGUGGCGAAGGCGGGUCUCUGGGCCGAAACUGACGCUGAGGAGCGAAGCGUGGGGAGCAAACAGG